UGGGGAAUAUUGGGCAAUGGAGGAAACUCUUACCCAGCAAUGCCGCGUGAGUGAAUUAGAAGGUCUUCGGAUUGUAAAGCUCUUUGAUUAGGGAAGAUAAUGACGUGUACCUAAAGAACAAGCCCCGGCUAACUAUGUGCCAGCAGCCGCGGUAAUACAUAGGGGGCGAGCGUUGUCCGGAAUGACUGGGCGUAAAGGGUGCGUAGGUGGUGUAUCAAGUUGGAAGUGUAAUACCCAGGGCUUAACUCGGGUGCUGCUUCCAAAACUGAUUUACUUGAGUGUCGGAGGGGAAAGUGGAAUUCCUAGUGUAGCGGUGGAAUGCGUAGAUAUUAGGAGGAACACCGGUGGCGAAAGCGGCUUUCUGGACGACAACUGACACUGAGGCACGAAAGCGUGGGGAGCAAACAGG
Molecule: ribosomal RNA, 409 nt
Filed under: uncultured bacterium
Lineage: Bacteria
Description: bacterial SSU rRNA
Rfam family: Bacterial small subunit ribosomal RNA
Source: RNAcentral